GGGCCCGUAGCAUAACCUGGAUACUUGCGCCACAUAAGGUUUUGGCGUAGGCCAAAAAGUGCGGCUGGCUUCGGACCAGUUGAUCAGGGUUCGAAUCCCUGCGGGCCCA
RNAcentral lists this transfer RNA (109 nucleotides) under Candidatus Woesearchaeota archaeon. RNAcentral's name for it is "tRNA-Arg". It matches the Rfam family "tRNA". Rfam says of the family: Transfer RNA (tRNA) molecules are approximately 80 nucleotides in length. The record is from RNAcentral. Lineage: Archaea; Nanobdellati; Candidatus Woesearchaeota.